Molecule: non-coding RNA, 45 nt
Filed under: Schistosoma margrebowiei
Lineage: Eukaryota; Metazoa; Platyhelminthes; Trematoda; Strigeidida; Schistosomatidae
Source: RNAcentral
ACACAGCUGACGAGUCCAAAAUGGGACGAAACACGUGUCAUGGAU